Molecule: ribosomal RNA, 496 nt
Filed under: uncultured bacterium
Lineage: Bacteria
Description: partial 16S ribosomal RNA
Rfam family: Bacterial small subunit ribosomal RNA
Source: RNAcentral
GACGAACGCUGGCGGCGUGCCUAAUACAUGCAAGUCGAACGAGAGCGACCGGUGCUUGCACUGGUCAAUCUAGUGGCGAACGGGUGAGUAACACGUGGGUAACCUGCCCAUCAGAGGGGGAUAACAUCCGGAAACGGAUGCUAAAACCGCAUAGGUCUUCGAGCCGCAUGGCUUGAAGAGGAAAAGAGGCGCAAGCUUCUGCUGAUGGAGGUACCCGCGGUGCAUUAGCUAGCUGGUGAGGUAACGGCUCACCAAGGCCGUGAUGCAUAGCCGAGCUGCGAGGGUGAUCGGCCACAUUGGGUGUGAGACACGGCGCAAACUCCUACGGGAGGCAGCAGUAGGGAUUCUUCCGCAAUGGACGCAAGUCUGACGAAGCAACGCCGCGUGAGUGAAGAAGGUUUUCGGAUCGUAAAACUCUGUCGUUAGAGAAGAACAAGUGCUAGAGUAACUGUUAGCGCCUUGACGGUAUCUAACCAGAAAGCCACGGCUAACUACG